CCUACGGGUGGCAGCAGUGGGGAAUAUUGCACAAUGGGCGCAAGCCUGAUGCAGCGACGCCGCGUGAGGGAUGACGGCCUUCGGGUUGUAAACCUCUGUUAGCAGGGAAGAAGAGAGAUUGACGGUACCUGCAGAGAAAGCGCCGGCUAACUACGUGCCAGCAGCCGCGGUAAUACGUAGGGCGCGAGCGUUGUCCGGAAUUAUUGGGCGUAAAGAGCUUGUAGGCGGUUUGUCGCGUCUGCUGUGAAAGGCCGGGGCUUAACUCCGUGUAUUGCAGUGGGUACGGGCAGACUAGAGUGCAGUAGGGGAGACUGGAAUUCCUGGUGUAGCGGUGGAAUGCGCAGAUAUCAGGAGGAACACCGAUGGCGAAGGCAGGUCUCUGGGCUGUAACUGACGCUGAGAAGCGAAAGCAUGGGGAGCGAACAGGAUUAGAUACCCGUGUAGUC
Molecule: ribosomal RNA, 446 nt
Filed under: uncultured Rothia sp.
Lineage: Bacteria; Bacillati; Actinomycetota; Actinomycetes; Micrococcales; Micrococcaceae
Description: bacterial SSU rRNA
Rfam family: Bacterial small subunit ribosomal RNA
Source: RNAcentral